CCAAGUACCUAUAAAUACUGAGAGGUCUUCAAGACGUAAGCAUCUCUACCUUGUUCUCCAUCCUGAUAACAUGCAGUGGCUACGUGCUCUGGUGAUGGUGGUGGUGGUUGUGGUGAUGGUGAUGGCAGGUCAGGUCACCGCUAAAGCCUGCUGCGGGGGUCAUCACCACGGCGGAGGUCACCACCACGGGGGACACCACGGAGGGCACCACCACGGGGGGCACCACGGGGGACACCACCACGGAGGUCAUCACCACGGAGGUCAUCACCACGGAGGUCAUCACGGAGGUCAUCAUGGUGGAUAUUUUGGUUAUGGCAAGUAAAACGAACCUGACCUAACACAGCGGGCAGGACCUGAGGAAGGGUUAUAUUAGUCUCUCUCUCUCUCUCUCUCUCUCUCUCUCUCUCUCUCUCUCUCUCUCUCUCUCUCUCUCUCUCUCUCUCUCUCUCUCUCUCUCUCUCUCUCUC
This is a long non-coding RNA of Eriocheir sinensis (Chinese mitten crab), 467 nucleotides long. RefSeq lists it as uncharacterized. The transcript has 3 exons. Lineage: Eukaryota; Metazoa; Arthropoda; Malacostraca; Decapoda; Varunidae. The record is from RefSeq and is a predicted model, not a curated record.